RNAcentral lists this non-coding RNA (820 nucleotides) under Pongo abelii (Sumatran orangutan). The record is from RNAcentral. Lineage: Eukaryota; Metazoa; Chordata; Mammalia; Primates; Hominidae.
GUUCCGCUCAAGUUCCUCCGCCGCGAACUCAGGACAGGCCGAAGAGGCGCGCACUACUCACGUGUCUUCCAAGUGCUGCUCCAAGGUCGCCUCCAUCCCACCCACCGACCACCCCGGCUCAGAACCCAGCGGCACGACACGUCCUUCUCCACCACAGGCCUCAGUCACUUGACGCGAGCGGGGCGUGGACCGUAACGGCGCCUCCAAAGGGACAAAAUUGAUCACGGUGCAACGUCCGCGUUCUUUACUGGAAAACAUUACUGCGCUGCCGCCGCACAGAGCCUGGCGAAGGCUUGGGCUGCCCGCGCGGUGACCGUCGAGGUGACCCGCACCUGGCUCCAUGGCGGAACCGGCCGGCGUGGAUUAUUCCCCUCUCGGGAGAGAGGUCUGCAGCCGGGCCUCAGUGCUUCAGUUCGUGGCCUGGCAUUUUGUGAAGAGUGUCUUCAUCUCUGCAUCCCUAGUGCAACAGAGCAUGAUAAAAAUUCAAUAAAUAUUUAUUGCAGAGUCUUGAUGUCUUUUGGGAAAGGAACUCUAUGGUUACCUUUACUCUAAGAUUAGAAGGGUGUUACUGAUUCUUACCUCAGAGAAGAGAAUGUCAUGGAGACAAAAUGACCUGCUUAGAGUUCUGCGCCCCCCAGCAUGGAGAGCAGAGCGCAAAGAUUUCCUCCAGACUCCCACAUUCUCCCUUGGAAUCCAAGAACUUGUCUACUAUCACAACACUUUAGUACCCACUUGUAAGCCCGUGGACAAAUCCUCUGAGGCCUUGAUACCUCAGUUUUCCCCCACUAUAAAUGGGAAGAUAAAUUCACUAGAAACAGUA